GCCUCCUGGAGAUGCUUUGGAGGGCGCUGGGGCAAAGGAGCCUCGCUGAAGCUCUGGGCGGGCGCCCUUUGGGACAAAGCAGUGCCUCUCUUCCCCCGUUUGGCAGCAGAUGAGAGCCAGGUUGGCCUCCUUGGACCUGCUUCGGCUUCCCUCCCCUUUGCCUUUACAGCCGGAGAGCCAGGGCUGCCUGCACAUGCAAAAUGGAAAGGACACACGAAGUGGGAAAGGCUGGGUGGAUCUCUCCUACUUGUUCAGGAUGGGCUCCCAUUGGCUAUUUGGCGCUGUUUCAGCCGAUACUGGCCUCCCUCCCUCUCCCGUGCCUGGAAGCCACGCCCCCUCCUGUUGGUUUCCUCCAUUAGCAGCAGCCAGGCCAGCAACGCGCGCCCUGCGAGAGGUGAAAACCAGUACCCAUGUGGCUAAACAACAUUGGAAUGUCGUCAAGAUGGAAAACACUAUUACUCAGGAAGAAUGGACAAACUAGGAGAUAAUGCAACAGUUCGUUUUUGUCUAAGCCAACAGGGAACGGUAAGACUGCCCAGUCCUCUCACCUCCUGUCUGCUGAGUUCAUGCAUUUCAAACUACUUCUGGACUUUGACUUCAGUUUGCAGCUACUGAAGUAACUGAUCAUGAAAAAGGAAAAAGAGAGUAGGAAAGAGAAACACAGACAUUUUAAAAGCAGUUGAAAAAGUGGGAUGAUAGAGGAUUAAUCAGGACUGUUCUUGCCAAAUUGAAACAGUUGGAGUGUAUAUGGUCUACUCAGUCAGACUUCACAACCAGUUUUUGGUACACAGUUUUUAAUGUGUUGGUUAUAGUCAAAAACCCCUCUCCCUUUUCCUGGAAAAUAUAAUGUAAACAAAACAAACAAACAAAAAACAACAACAACAAUUUCAAAAAUAGCUGUUCCAAAAACUACAUUAGAAAGGUCUAAAUCUCAGUAAUAGUGUUUUGCAUGGCAAAAGUUCUUAGUUAGCUUCUCCAUUGAGGUGAAGACUUCAAUCAUGUCAAUCUGUGUAUAGUAUUUUAAUCACAAGUGAUUUUAAGUUAAGUUACAAGUGUUUUAAGUUAAUAUGGGGCAACAUACUAUGUCCAACUAUUAAUGAUUGAUUGUUGUUUAUUUAUUUAUUUGUGAUACUUUUACCCCUCCUUUCUCACCCCGGUGGGGACUCAAGGCAGCUUCACAAAGUGGCAAUAAUUCAAUGCCUUUUAAAACCAAGUACAAAAGCAGUUAUUUAAAUAAUAAAACAUUAAAAUACAAUUAAAACAAAAUUAAAACAAUUAACAUUUGACUCUGACCGUAGAGUAAAUCACGUGAUCCAAGAGCAUAGUCUGGGCCGUUCCCUUGGUCAGUUCCAUAUCUUUCAUAUCUAUUAUUGCACCAGAUUUCUGAAGGCUUGGUCAAAGAGCCAUAUCUUCAUUUUUUUUGCGGAAGAUCAGGAGGGAUCUAAUCUAAUCUAAUCAGGAGGGAUCUAAUCUCCCUGGGGAAGAAGGCCCUGUCUCUCGUCCUCGCCAAUCACAUCUGCGAAGAGGGUGGGACCGAAAGCAGGGCCUCCCCGGACGAUCUUAGACUCUGAGAUGGUUCAUAGAAGGAGGUACGUUCCGACAGGUUAACUGGGUCAGAACCUUUAAGUCAUUUCUGACCGAUGCUGACCCUAAGGCAAAACUAUGACAGGGUUUUCUUGGCAAGACUUACAACCUCAUCACAAAAAUCAAUGGAUUCGCCACACAUCAUGAAGAAUCCAUGGGAUCCUGGGGGGGGGGGGUCGUGGAGAACCUGUCGCUCCACGCCCCACAUUGUGCAACCUGGGACCCCAUCACAUGGGGGGAAGCAUUGCCACCCGGCUUCCCCUCAUUGUGCUUAAGGUAACAUAGGAAGCCUCUCAUGUUGCUGCGGUAACAGCAUAUGCCGCUUGCUCUCCCUUUUCCCGAUGGACCCUGGCCGAAAGUACACGUAUAUCAUGUAAUGGUGUCUGUCAGGAAAGGGAGAGCUAGCGGCAUACGACAGGAAAAGGAGACCGUCUGAUGAGGUAAUAUCAGAAGAGGCUUGCCAUUGCCUCCCUCUGAGACUGAGCGAAUGGGCCUUGCCCAGUGGGUUUCCUACUCAAAACACUAAAACUGCUACACUAUACUUGCUUUCACAUGAAAAUCUCUAUAAUUUUUCUGUUUCCUUGCAGACUAGUAGUAGAUGGUUUAUUGUUGAAUACCUUCAAGCAACUUGUGACUUAUGCAACCCUGAGGCAAAUGAAUUAUGAGGUUUCUUGGCAAGAUUCAUUGAAAGGAAGUUUAUUAGUCUGUUAUGUGGAGAACUAGCCUAUGUAUCCACUCAUUUUUCUGUUCUUUGUUCCUUGUAUAAUUUGACUAUCUCCCAAACCUUUUUUUAAACAAAUUUCAAUUUUUUUUACUUCAUUCUAGUCUCAUAUUUUUCUCUUUUAUGGUAUCACUAGCAUUUAGCUUGCUUAUUGCUGUAUCAGACAAAUUGAGAUCUAAUUUAGAAAUGAAUGUAUUACCUUUACAGUACAUACUGGCAGUUCUUUAUAUUUCUGCCUUCCCAUGUAAUCUCAUAAUGCUGUCAGCCCUUCUGAUUAAAGACAACAAGAACAGAAUGCAGACUUGUUAACCCUGGACCACUUUCCCAUUGUAUUUGGUCACAGUCUCAACAGAACUGUGAACAUUUGGUCAGUUAUGUUUGGCAUAGCCAUGGCUCCAGCCUUUGCCAAGUGGUAACUUCUUUGAACCUAUACGAUAACCGGUCUUCACUGUUGUUGUUGUUUUAAACAAGUCUACUUUUGAAGAAAGCUGUUUUAGAAAGACAGGAAGAAGAAAUUACAGAUCCAAUGUUAAGUGUAGGACAAUGUGUUUCCUAAGAUAUCCAAUGCCAUGUUAAGUGACUUAACAACAGUGUUGCUCUUCUAUCAUUAGACACAGAAAGCACGUAACUUUUCUCUUGCUCAUUUUGUUUUAUUCAUACAUAUUUUACACUAUAUAUGUGGCAUGCAUUUCUUUUAUGCAGGGCUUAACCAAUGUAUUUUGUUGCCUUUGAUGAAUAUGAAGACAGCACAGAAUCCCUCAGAUGAUAACUGGAAUGGCAGUGUACUGGAACAGAAAUGUAGAUUAAGCCUGUCAGUAGGGUAUGGAGAAAUAGCUCUUUCUCCCAUCAGGCUACUGUCUGAGGCAACCACCCUAUUCUGCCUAAUGAUAGGGCAAACCAUGUCCAAGCAGGUAGCCCUUUUUUUAAAGUCGCCAGAAUGGUACUGAUGAUUGCAGGGACAUAUGGCUGUUAAUUAUUGUUUAUGCUGCAAUUGCUUCCAGUGUGGACAGAUUUAAACAUUGCUUUUCUGAUGUCGUCUUUUUAGGAUGUCGGGGUAAUGCUAUACAGUGGUUAAAAUAAAUAUAGAAUCACACUGCAGUAUUCCACAUCCUUGCAUUGCCCAUUCAUCCUUGCAGAGAGAUUAAAGGGCUUGGUAAAACUAACUUCUUCUAGGUCAGUUUUGGGCAAUCAAGUCUUAACUCUCAGGGACAGGGUAGCUUACUACUGAAUUGAAAAAGGUCAGACUGAAACCUAUUGUAUUUGUAAUGACAAGGAUUUCACAAGAAGGUUAUUUCAUUUCUCUCUCUCUCUCUCUCUCUCUCUCUUUGUACACCACAUAGUGGUUUGUCAGUAUGAUUGUUCAAUGCUAUAAAAUGCUGAAGGUCCCAAUUGCUCAAAGAUUAAUGAGGUCAAAACACUGAAUUGGAAUUUGGGAGAAGGCCUUGUCAACCAUGACACCCCAAUGGCAAUGCUUUCCCCCAGAUACAUGACUGGUGCCAACACUUAUAUCAUUUAGCCUCUCUUAAAACAUGUAUGUUCAGCAAAGCCCUUGGGCAUCAUUACUUCAACCCAAUGUCUGUCACAAAUAGUUUUUAAAACAUUAACAUUUUAAAAUCUGCUUUUAAUUAAUUAUAUUGUCAAAUAUGUUUUAGAUUAUUUAUCUUAACUUACUGGUUUUAGCCCGUUUAACCAUUUUAAUACUAUUUGUAAACUACCCUGAUAUCUUUUAAAUAAUUUUGUGCAUGAAACAAAAUAUGUGUUUUUUAGAUCAUCAGAGAGCAAAGACAUCACUGCCUCAGCCACCCAUGUGGACAAUUUUAAAUUUUGGUUUAUUUGGGAAUUCUGGAUUUUUUUAUUGUGUCAGAAGCGAAUUGAGAAUAUACCGCAAGUUGCUUCUGGUGUGAGAGAAUUGGCUAUCAGCAGACAGGGCCGGCCCUGGGUAAUUUUCAAGUGUAAGUGAACAGAAUUUUGGCGCCCUCCCCCCCUCCCAAACCAAUAACUGAAAAAUAAAAAUGUUUGAUAAGCAGAAAUGUUGGACAAUAAGAAGGGAUUAAGGAAAAGCCUAUUAAACAUCAAAUUACAUUAUGAUUUUACAAAUUAAGCACCAAAACAUCAUGUUUUACAACAAAUCAACAGA
This is a long non-coding RNA of Anolis carolinensis (green anole), 4442 nucleotides long. The record is from Ensembl. Lineage: Eukaryota; Metazoa; Chordata; Lepidosauria; Squamata; Anolidae.